This is a long non-coding RNA of Brassica rapa (field mustard), 244 nucleotides long. RefSeq lists it as uncharacterized. Lineage: Eukaryota; Viridiplantae; Streptophyta; Magnoliopsida; Brassicales; Brassicaceae. The record is from RefSeq and is a predicted model, not a curated record.
GGUUGGGAUAUACUACACACAAGUAGGGAUGUCAAAUGGGCAUGCUGUCCAUGGAUAGCCCAUGUCCAAACCAAUAUGGACAUGCCCAUAUUUGACCAUAAUUUUGUUUUGUGCAAAUGGGCGAGGCCCAAAUAUACCCAUAUCCAAAUGGACAAAACCAGAUGGACAUGGACGGCCCAAAAUUUUAAAAUAUCUAGGGUUAAUGUAUUUGAGUAAAAAUCAUGUUUUCCGUCAAAACCGUAAA